RNAcentral lists this long non-coding RNA (865 nucleotides) under Theobroma cacao (cacao). RNAcentral describes it as "long non-coding RNA (TCAC_LNC002597)". The record is from RNAcentral. Lineage: Eukaryota; Viridiplantae; Streptophyta; Magnoliopsida; Malvales; Malvaceae.
UGUACUCCAUCCUGAGUCCUUCUUAUCAACACCAUCAGUUUUUCCACCAGAUGACGCUGUUCCGGCACCUCCCAUCCUGACUCCAAACCCUUUUCAGCUACCUCCCCUGCUUCCUCCAAACCCCAUUCAGCCUCCUCCCUUGCUUCCUCCCAACCCUUUUCAGCCACCUCCCCUGCUUCCUCCAAACCCCUUUCAGCCUCCUCCCUUGCUUCCUCCCAACCCUUUUCAGCCACCUCCCCUGCUUCCUCCAAACCCCUUUCAGCCUCCUCCCUUGCUUCCUCCCAACCCUUUUCAGCCACCUCCCCUGCUUCCUCCAAACCCCUUUCAGCCUCCUCCCUUGCUUCCUCCCAACCCUUUUCAGCCGCCACCAGCUCCACUUAUUCCAAACCCGUUUCAGCCUCCUCCAGCUCCACUUAUUCCAAACCCGUUUCAGCCUCCCCCGGCUCCACUUUUUCCUCCAAACCCGUUUCAGCCUCCCCCGGCUCCACUUUUUCCUCCAAACCCGUUUCAGCCUCCUCCAGCUCCACUUAUUCCAAACCCGUUUCAGCCUCCCCCGGCUCCACUUUUUCCUCCAAACCCGUUUCGGCCUCCUCGAGCACCUCCGUCACCAUUGUUUCCUUUUCCACCAAUUCCAGGGCUAACUCCACCAUCACCACCACCACCACCACCACCAUUCUUCCCAUUUCCUCUUCCUCCAUUCCCUUUCCCACCUAUACCUCCUUUCCCCGGCAUCCCCCCUGCAUCGACUUCACCAACGAAAUCUUCUCCUUGAUUAAUGAAUACUAUUCCUCAAUGUAUAAUUCUCCAAUAAUAUUUGUCACACUCUAGUCAGUCCUUUUUUGUUUCUUUUCCAUUUUCCUUUUCU